RNAcentral lists this ribosomal RNA (450 nucleotides) under uncultured Glomeromycotina. Its description in RNAcentral is "SSU rRNA". It matches the Rfam family "Eukaryotic small subunit ribosomal RNA", at positions 569 to 1023 of the family's 1831-position model. The record is from RNAcentral. Lineage: Eukaryota; Fungi; Glomeromycota.
AGCAGCCGCGGUAAUUCCAGCUCCAAUAGCGUAUAUUAAAGUUGUUGCAGUUAAAAAGCUCGUAGUUGAAUUUCGGGAUCAAUAUGUCGGUCGUGCCUUCGGUACGUACUGGCAUCAUUGGUUUCUCCCUUCUGACAAACCAUGAUGUCAUUAAUUUGGUGUUAUGGGGAGUUAGGACUGUUACUUUGAAAAAAUUAGAGUGUUUAAAGCAGGCAUUAGCUUGAAUACAUUAGCAUGGAAUAAUGAAAUAGGACGUUUGACCCUAUUUUGUUGGUUUCUAGGAUCGACGUAAUGAUUAAUAGGGAUAGUUGGGGGCAUUAGUAUUCAAUUGUCAGAGGUGAAAUUCUUGGAUUUAUUGAAGACUAACUACUGCGAAAGCAUUUGCCAAGGAUGUUUUCAUUAAUCAAGAACGAAAGUUAGGGGAUCGAAGACGAUCAGAUACCGUCGUAG